RNAcentral lists this unclassified non-coding RNA (378 nucleotides) under uncultured Parachlamydiaceae bacterium. Its description in RNAcentral is "contains 16S-23S intergenic spacer region". The record is from RNAcentral. Lineage: Bacteria; Pseudomonadati; Chlamydiota; Chlamydiia; Parachlamydiales; Parachlamydiaceae.
UCCCGGUUCACCCGGGCAGUCUCAUUAGAGUUCCCACCUUCACGUGUUGGCAACUAAUGAUAAGGGUUGCGCUCGUUGCGGGACUUAACCCAACACCUCACGGCACGAGCUGACGACAGCCAUGCAGCACCUGUGUAGAGACCCUUGCGGGAAUCGCCAUCUCUGGCGCUGUCCUCUACAUUUCUAACCUGGGUAAGGUUCUUCGCGUUGCAUCGAAUUAAACCACAUGCUCCACUGCUUGUGCGGGUCCCCGUCAAUUCUUUUGAGUUUCACCCUUGCGGGCGUACUCCCCAGGCGGUAUACUUAUCGCGUUAGCUACGGCACAGCCAGGGUUGAGCCCGGCUACACCAAGUAUACAUCGUUUACGGCAAGGACUAC